This 492-nucleotide ribosomal RNA is filed under the name uncultured bacterium. RNAcentral describes it as "partial 16S ribosomal RNA". It matches the Rfam family "Bacterial small subunit ribosomal RNA", at positions 29 to 507 of the family's 1533-position model. The record is from RNAcentral.
AGUGAACGCUGGCGGUAGGCCUAACACAUGCAAGUCGAACGGCAGCACAGUAAGAGCUUGCUCUUACGGGUGGCGAGUGGCGGACGGGUGAGGAAUACAUCGGAAUCUACUUUUUCGUGGGGGAUAGCGUAGGGAAACUUACGCUAAUACCGCAUACGACCUACGGGUGAAAGCAGGGGAUCUUCGGACCUUGCGCGAUUGAAUGAGCCGAUGUCGGAUUAGCUAGUUGGCGGGGUAAAGGCCCACCAAGGCGACGAUCCGUAGCUGGUCUGAGAGGAUGAUCAGCCGCACUGGAACUGAGACACGGUCCAGACUCCUACGGGAGGCAGCAGUGGGGAAUAUUGGACAAUGGGCGCAAGCCUGAUCCAGCCAUACCGCGUGGGUGAAGAAGGCCUUCGGGUUGUAAAGCCCUUUUGUUGGGAAAGAAAAGCAGCAGGUUAAUACCCCGCUGUUCUGACGGUACCCAAAGAAUAAGCACCGGCUAACUUCGUG